UGCAGUCGACGCUUUGUGGUUCAACUGAUUUGAAGAGCUUGCUCAGAUAUGACGAUGGACAUUGCAAAGAGUGGCGAACGGGUGAGUAACACGUGGGAAACCUACCUCUUAGCAGGGGAUAACAUUUGGAAACAGAUGCUAAUACCGUAUAACAAUGACAACCGCAUGGUUGUUAUUUGAAAGAUGGUUCUGCUAUCACUAAGAGAUGGUCCCGCGGUGCAUUAGCUAGUUGGUAAGGUAAUGGCUUACCAAGGCGAUGAUGCAUAGCCGAGUUGAGAGACUGAUCGGCCACAAUGGGACUGAGACACGGCCCAUACUCCUACGGGAGGCAGCAGUAGGGAAUCUUCCACAAUGGGCGAAAGCCUGAUGGAGCAACGCCGCGUGUGUGAUGAAGGGUUUCGGCUCGUAAAACACUGUUGUAAGAGAAGAAUGACAUUGAGAGUAACUGUUCAAUGUGUGACGGUAUCUUACCAGAAAGGAACGGCUAAAUACGUGCCAGCAGCCGCGGUAAUACGUAUGUUCCAAGCGUUAUCCGGAUUUAUUGGGCGUAAAGCGAGCGCAGACGGUUAUUUAAGUCUGAAGUGAAAGCCCUCAGCUCAACUGAGGAAUUGCUUUGGAAACUGGAUGACUUGAGUGCAGUAGAGGAAAGUGGAACUCCAUGUGUAGCGGUGAAAUGCGUAGAUAUAUGGAAGAACACCAGUGGCGAAGGCGGCUUUCUGGACUGUAACUGACGUUGAGGCUCGAAAGUGUGGGUAGCAAACAGGAUUAGAUACCCUGGUAGUCCACACCGUAAACGAUGAGUGCUAGGUGUUUGAGGGUUUCCGCCCUUAAGUGCCGCAGCUAACGCAUUAAGCACUCCGCCUGGGGAGUACGACCGCAAGGUUGAAACUCAAAGGAAUUGACGGGGACCCGCACAAGCGGUGGAGCAUGUGGUUUAAUUCGAAGCAACGCGAAGAACCUUACCAGGUCUUGACAUCCCUUGACAACUCCAGAGAUGGAGCGUUCCCUUCGGGGACAAGGUGACAGGUGGUGCAUGGUUGUCGUCAGCUCGUGUCGUGAGAUGUUGGGUUAAGUCCCGCAACGAGCGCAACCCUUAUUACUAGUUGCCAGCAUUCAGUUGGGCACUCUAGUGAGACUGCCGGUGACAAACCGGAGGAAGGUGGGGAUGACGUCAAAUCAUCAUGCCCCUUAUGACCUGGGCUACACACGUGCUACAAUGGCGUAUACAACGAGUUGCCAACCCGCGAGGGUGAGCUAAUCUCUUAAAGUACGUCUCAGUUCGGAUUGUAGGCUGCAACUCGCCUACAUGAAGUCGGAAUCGCUAGUAAUCGCGGAUCAGCACGCCGCGGUGAAUACGUUCCCGGGUCUUGUACACACCGCCCGUCACACCAUGAGAGUUUGUAACACCCAAAGCCGGUGGGGUAACCUUCGGGAGCCAGCC
RNAcentral lists this ribosomal RNA (1441 nucleotides) under Weissella confusa. Its description in RNAcentral is "bacterial SSU rRNA". It matches the Rfam family "Bacterial small subunit ribosomal RNA". The record is from RNAcentral. Lineage: Bacteria; Bacillati; Bacillota; Bacilli; Lactobacillales; Lactobacillaceae.